Molecule: Y RNA, 102 nt
Organism: Pongo abelii (Sumatran orangutan)
Lineage: Eukaryota; Metazoa; Chordata; Mammalia; Primates; Hominidae
Rfam family: Y RNA
About the family: Y RNAs are components of the Ro ribonucleoprotein particle (Ro RNP), in association with Ro60 and La proteins. The Y RNAs and Ro60 and La proteins are well conserved, but the function of the Ro RNP is not known.
Source: Ensembl
GGCUAAUCAUAGUGCCGUGGUGUUUACAACUAAUUGAUUGCAACUAGUUACAGAUUUGUUUCUUCUCCACUCACUCCUGCUGCUUCACUUGACUAGUCUUAA